AUUUGAAACCUGUCCCUAUAUUUUCCUUCCCAGGAACCCCUGGAUAAAGACCAGGUCAACCAUGGCUGAGGAAACAGACCCAGGCUUCCCAGGGCGGUUAACCCGCCGGCCUCUGGGCAGAGACUGUCAGUGUGCAGAGAUUCUGGGAUGCUGUUCCUGGUUUAUCUGAGUCGGUCCACAGCAGGAAAUGGCAUCAAGAUAGUUCAACUAAGACAUGGUCACUAAAAACAUUAUAAUAAUACCUUUUUGAAAAACUCAGUUUCUCCUAUUUACUAAAUAUUUAUUUCAUCAACAUGGGCUGCAUUCCACUGUGUCAGGAUUCUGCAUGUGCGUGGAGCACUGUUCCAGCCUGAGAAGAUGGUUCUGAGGCCACUUAGCAAGACAUUUUCCAGCAUGAGCAGAUUUCUCUGUGGAAAUAGUGACACUGUUCUGGUGUGUUGUCUUUCCUCAGGGAACUUAAGGGGUAUAAAGCUCCUGAAAAUGUUCUUUAUGCUGGUUGAAGCUCUUAUGUCACUGUACUGAUUCCCUAUGAUGCAGAUUUGAAUCACAGAGUAAUUAAAAUAUGGAUCAAAUAAGGCUGGGGUUCACCAAGGCUGAAAGCUGUAGCCAUUCAAGGCAUCAUUUCUGUAAUGAAAAUAUAGGACCUUUUCAAAACAUGCCUUCAAGAUGGUGUUCCUUUUUCAAACAAAAGUCUAAUGACUGCAUAACUCUUCUUGAGCACAUCUUACACUUUUCUCUAGAUUUGCUUAUUUACAGCUACUGGAACAAAAAGAUGAGAUGAAUAAAGCACACUGAUUGUCCUAAGAGUCUUCUGUGACCAAAAGCACAUGAACUUCUCCCCAGGCUGAGCUUUGACCCUCCCAAGCAUUUCCCCAAAGGCCAUGACACUGCAUCGGAUUGCUCCUGGACGCUUUCCUCACAGUUUUCAACAAAUAUAAACUGAGGAAUGGAACACAGCAUCAGAUUUGCUAAUCAAGAGGCAAUGGUCCCACUCCAAAUGGGUGCUGUGUGUGAAUACAGAGCCCAGGAGAAAGGAAGGAGGUGCGUGAACAUCAAGAAUUGCAAAAUCUUGCUGAACCAAUAGACCAACAGCCAUUAACAUUUGUCAAUGCAAAGAUCCUAAAAUAUGCAAGUGUGGAGUUGUCCUGCCCUAAGAGCUGAAGCUGUGACAAUCACACUGUCAUGGUAGAUAUUUAAGCUCCCCUGAGGUUACUGAAUCUAACAAUGAAUAAACAAUGAAGAGUAGCUAAUUUUUGGAAAUCUCUUUCUAUGACCGGAAGAUAUUCACAAACUCAGAGUGAUUGUUUGGGGUGAAAGAUGGUCCCAUGCCUUGUGGGCCUCUUUUUGCUAUCUAUACAAAGUUGGAAAUGAACCCCUCCCUUACAGGAAGGUGAAUAGCAACCAAAGUGAGCCCACCCUGGGAGGGCAGAGUGGGUGUACUUUCCUCAAAGAGCCCUGAACACAACAGGGCACACAAACAGCCACAGCACCCUCAACAAUGCCCCACCAUCUGCCCACCAGAGCACACAGAUUCACACAGAUUCAGUGACAUAUUCCAAAAACAGGGAAUUAGGGAGGACCCAAGGCAUGGCCAGUGUGGAGAGAGCUUUACUACUUUUAGCGCCAUUGCUAAUUAUUGGAGCAAAGAAGGGCAUACAAGGAAUGGAACCCAACCUGUUUAAAGUAAUAAAUGUCAACCCUAAAGUGCAUGGAAACAUCUCUCCUUCCCUUUUGAGGACCGUGUGCUUCACAAGCUUGGCAUUUGCUGCAUGGGGUUUUCUAAUGUAAUGUGAAUUUUCAAUGUGCUUUGUCUCUGUAGAGUGGCUUUAAAAAGCCCUUGAAGUCCUUAGCUUUAAAUCCAUGCUAAUAGGGGAAGUCUUUUUUUUUUGGAGGUGGGGAGCUUUGGUUGGGAGAAACAUUGACCCAGACUGCACUCUGGGUAAACUAGGGCGAAAGACCUGAUAUCGUCUGCAGGGUACUUAUUAACCACUGUUCAUUUGCAGGAUCAAUAUUUCCAGCAAAGGAGUCAACACUCAAGAUACACUGCUACGUCUCACUUUUUCCUUGACACAACAAUUUAUUUUAUAAAUGCAUCUGCUGGAGAAGAAAAGGCAGUACGAAGGAUUGUGUCUUUUAUCUCCAGGAUAUGCAAAGCACAUUUAUUUUCAGCUUUUAUCUCUGGAAUUGUAUGUUGAUCCCAUACAUAUAGAUUGAUUUUGUUCAGGUAGAUAAUGAAAAGUCAAGUGGAAAAUUACACAAUGGCAUUCACGAUCCUAGUCUUAUAUCGGUAUAUAAAUUGGUUUAUUAUUUCAUUCUAUUAAAGAGGCUUUUUUUUUUGGUACCAGGAAAACUUCAAAAUGCAUUGUGUUGUCAGCCUCACUGAAUUUUCUUUUGGAGGAGGAGGUGGGGAGGGGAAGCCAAAGCCCCGAUUUCUCCUGCUCCUUUUGCUAAUUGUAUUGGCUAAAUGAGCUUUCACAGAAGGGGGUCCUGGCUGCUUUUUGCUCUCCCCCAGCCCACUUGUAGGUUGCACACACGGCUUCUAUAACUCUUUCUCGGUCAGGACAAAGAUAUCCACCGUGCACACCCUGUGACAUAGUGGAUAUUUAUUUCAUCCCGGGCAAUUCUAAAUUUUGUCAUUAUGACUGAAAGAGGCAAUCCCCUCCUGAGCAUUAAGAGGCCAGGGGUGAGAGGGUGGCAGCAUAGAAAAGCCACCACCCAGAGACAGCUUGGAGCCACAAUCCUGGAGGAAAUGUUAUUAAUAAACAUCUUUUGGACAUUUGGUAGCCCGUGGAGCUUGCUCCAGCUUAAAGCAAUUAAUUCAGGACACUGACAUAAACUCUCCAGAUCUUUGACAGCUUGGAGCCGAAAUAAAAAUGCUAGUUCUCCGGGGAAGAGAAGAGGAUGGCUAGCCCUUUUCUGGACUGUUUGCUUAUAGGCCCAGAGAGCAACCUUCCUAGCAGAAUGAAAUGCAAGGGCACAAACAAUGUACCAGGGAGAGAAUAGAAGAUGGGAAUGAACAGUUUGAACUAUUUGCUCAGCAGAAGGGCACCACAAUGCUGGGUAGUGGUUUUCCCAUGCGUCCACUGUCCGUUCUUUGGGAUCUUUUGUUGUUCCCUGUCUCCUUUGGCCAGAUAAGAGCACAGCUGCAGCAUUGCAGCUAACAAGUAAGGCCGUACUUAUCCCCCUAAAUCUCGGGGUGCCUUUACUGUAACAAGUUAUGCUCGGCUGUCUUUUAUUUUACAAGAGGAUGGUGAGGGAGACAAUGGAAGAACAGAGGGGGCGGACGUAUAGGACACUGACACUGCCUAUGUCUGAUUUCUCUUUCUUUUCUUUCUUUCUUUCUUUCUUUCUUUCUUUCUUUCUUUCUUUCUUUCUUUCUUUCUUUCUUUCUUUC
Pongo pygmaeus (Bornean orangutan) is the source of this 3394-nucleotide long non-coding RNA. RefSeq lists it as uncharacterized. Lineage: Eukaryota; Metazoa; Chordata; Mammalia; Primates; Hominidae. The transcript has 3 exons. The record is from RefSeq and is a predicted model, not a curated record.